This 498-nucleotide ribosomal RNA is filed under the name uncultured bacterium. RNAcentral describes it as "partial 16S ribosomal RNA". It matches the Rfam family "Bacterial small subunit ribosomal RNA", at positions 28 to 508 of the family's 1533-position model. The record is from RNAcentral.
GAUGAACGCUGGCGGCGUGCCUAAUACAUGCAAGUCGAGCGAACGGACGAGAAGCUUGCUUCUCUGAUGUUAGCGGCGGACGGGUGAGUAACACGUGGAUAACCUACCUAUAAGACUGGGAUAACUUCGGGAAACCGUAGCUAAUACCGGAUAAUAUUUUGAACCGCAUGGUUCAAAAGUGAAAGACGGUCUUGCUGUCACUUAUAGAUGGAUCCGCGCUGCAUUAGCUAGUUGGUAAGGUAACGGCUUACCAAGGCAACGAUGCAUAGCCGACCUGAGAGGGGGAUCGGCCACACUGGAACUGAGACACGGUCCAGACUCCUACGGGAGGCAGCAGUAGGGAAUCUUCCGCAAUGGGCGAAAGCCUGACGGAGCAACGCCGCGUGAGUGAUGAAGGUCGUCGGAUCGUAAAACUCUGUUAUUAGGGAAGAACAUAUGUGUAAGUAACUGUGCACAUCUUGACGGUACCUAAUCAGAAAGCCACGGCUAACUACGUGC